UAGACAGAAACAAAACGAGGGAUGCUGUUUGCGACGAUAUGUUUCUCGUAAUUCGUCAAUAUCAGAGACGGUUCUGGAGACGGUUUCGACGUUGCAGAGUGAGUUAGUUGAUAAUUCAAACGUUAUCAGAAGGCGACACGCGUAUUCGUCGCACGGCGGCAAGAAACGCGUUCCUAUCUGCGCGAAAAGACGGCUUUUCCACGAGGUACACUUAAAAAAGGAGCACGUCCAGUUUGCCUAACAUCAAUGGGUCUUUCCGAAUAAAAAGAAAGGAUAGAUAAUUUCGUUUCAACGGUACCAUGAACACGUUGGUGGAGACCGCAAGAGGAGAGGAGAUUACCUUGGUGAAAAAUAGCGACCUUUUCCUUCGCUUUCCCAGUAUAAAGUUGCAGUGCGCAAUAUGCGGCUUAUAGGUUAGACAACAAACGUCGACCUGUGUGGAUUUCGCAGUUCUACAUUACAUCAGGGUUUCUCAAUCCUUUUUGGCUUGCAAUUCACUUCUGGACAUUGGUACCUUUUAUAGCCCCCUUUCCCUAUUGCCUGCAUAUCUUCAUCGUACUAAUUCUUCCAUUUCUUCGAAUGGCCCCAAACAUUCGGUGUUAGACCUCCUGAAGGUCAUAUAGUUUUGGUGUUCCAUGAUGCUGACAGUGGUCAGUUAGUU
Eufriesea mexicana is the source of this 661-nucleotide long non-coding RNA. RefSeq lists it as uncharacterized. The record is from RefSeq and is a predicted model, not a curated record. The transcript has 3 exons. NCBI's taxonomy places the organism in Eukaryota, Metazoa, Arthropoda, Insecta, Hymenoptera, Apidae.